RNAcentral lists this ribosomal RNA (647 nucleotides) under Listeria monocytogenes. RNAcentral's name for it is "bacterial SSU rRNA". It matches the Rfam family "Bacterial small subunit ribosomal RNA", at positions 893 to 1533 of the family's 1533-position model. The record is from RNAcentral. Lineage: Bacteria; Bacillati; Bacillota; Bacilli; Caryophanales; Listeriaceae.
GUUGAAACUCAAAGGAAUUGACGGGGGCCCGCACAAGCGGUGGAGCAUGUGGUUUAAUUCGAAGCAACGCGAAGAACCUUACCAGGUCUUGACAUCCUUUGACCACUCUGGAGACAGAGCUUUCCCUUCGGGGACAAAGUGACAGGUGGUGCAUGGUUGUCGUCAGCUCGUGUCGUGAGAUGUUGGGUUAAGUCCCGCAACGAGCGCAACCCUUGAUUUUAGUUGCCAGCAUUUAGUUGGGCACUCUAAAGUGACUGCCGGUGCAAGCCGGAGGAAGGUGGGGAUGACGUCAAAUCAUCAUGCCCCUUAUGACCUGGGCUACACACGUGCUACAAUGGAUAGUACAAAGGGUCGCGAAGCCGCGAGGUGGAGCUAAUCCCAUAAAACUAUUCUCAGUUCGGAUUGUAGGCUGCAACUCGCCUACAUGAAGCCGGAAUCGCUAGUAAUCGUGGAUCAGCAUGCCACGGUGAAUACGUUCCCGGGCCUUGUACACACCGCCCGUCACACCACGAGAGUUUGUAACACCCGAAGUCGGUAGGGUAACCUUUAUGGAGCCAGCCGCCGAAGGUGGGACAGAUAAUUGGGGUGAAGUCGUAACAAGGUAGCCGUAUCGGAAGGUGCGGCUGGAUCACCUCCUUUCUAAGGAA